ACGGUCAUUUAAUAUGUGAAUCCCACUUUCUUUUUCCACUUAUUUCAGUUCCUCCCCGUUUCUUCUGGAACUUACUUAAUUCUUCGGUUCUUUCAUGUCUCUGCUCCGAGCUCUCCCUAUCAAACAACGAUGGAGACAUAAUUUGAGCCCUAGCUUUACUGUUUUCUUUCUUUCCCUCUCUAUGUAGACCUCACUAUACUAUUUUCCAUCAAUUUGAUACCAAAAGCAGCGACACUCUUUUUCUUUUUCUCCUCAAGGUUCCACCCUCAUAACAAAAACAAAAAAAUUAUCUUUCACCUUCCGCUUCCAAGACUCUUGCUAUCAUUGUGAAUUCUGUUGUGAGGGCUGAACUUGAAACUUUUGAGAAGGUGACCAUGGAAUUGGGAUAACUUGAAGUUCCUUUAAGUUCCUUUUUCCAAACAAGUUGUAGAACUAAAUGAUCUGCUUGUGUGAUUGCACAGAGGAUAAUCUAUAUAAUUACCUUUUAACACAUCUGGUUUAUUGUUUUGGGUAUUAAGAAUCAGCUUGAAAUCUUUUUAGCUGGCCAUGAUAGUUCUAGAACAAUUGAAGAAUCGGCCUGGAGUAAUCAAAAAGCUGGAGAUUUCAUCUUUAUGUAAGAACUAGAAGGCAAGGAGGUACAUUUUGGGUGAACUCAACAACAUUGCCAGGAAACUUCCAAUAUGUAUAUUACCAAUUUUAAUUUUUCCAUUAUAUGUUUUUAUCCGAUUUGCAAAAUACUUGCAUAGCUUCAGGUUUUUUAAAUGUGACGCACAGUGCAUAUGGAGUCAAAUCCCUUUGAGAUUGUAGGAGAUUUAAUUAUGCCAGCUCUCAAACUCAAGAAAAAAAAAAGGUCACAACUGCUUGACCAUUAUAACGUACUUUAUGCUGAAUGCAUCUUCUCUUUUGUAACAAUGGUUGUUAUAUUUACUGACUCACCACUCAGUAAGAAUUUUGUGUACUCGAUAGGUAAAAAUUCUUUUGAAGCAUAUAUUUUUAUUACAUUUCUUUCUAUUAUAAUUUUGUAGAGUGGCUCUAAACUUGGUAAUUUUUGGAACCAUCUCUUUCCUUUCGGAGAAAGAUUAAGUAGCUUGGCAUUUGUAAUGUUACUUUUUUCUUUUAAUAAAAUGAGAAAUUUAUUGAUAUGACUAAUUUACAUAAGAGGGGAGAUAAAUUAAACUUUACCUCCCUAAGAUACAUAUGUAAAUCAAAAGAGUGCACUUUAAGUGGUACAAGGUUAAUCCUUGGAUCCCCAUAAGCUUUAAAACUGAUUUUGGAGUGGCUUCUGCAAUAGAAGAUGUUGCAGUUAAUUAUCUUCAUGAAAAAUCCUCCUCCUAUUGCUUAUUGAAAUUUAUAUUAUUGUGUGCACUUACUGUCUGCUCCACCAAGUUGAUUCACUGCUUCUACAAACAUCUGAUGAAGGUCUGGUGUCCAUUUCAAAUUUUGAUUAGAGGAAGUGCCAACUGAAUAUGUAAUUAUUGACUUCUUAAAAGUUACGUCUAUGCUUUGUGAUGAGAUGAGUUUCAGAUAGCUGGUUGCUACAGUUCUACUGAGUGCCAGGAAAAGUACAUAUGGAGGGUGGUUUAGAUUCUAAACAGCCAAUUGACACUUUAUAUUUCCUCCUU
Lycium ferocissimum is the source of this 1622-nucleotide long non-coding RNA. RefSeq lists it as uncharacterized. Lineage: Eukaryota; Viridiplantae; Streptophyta; Magnoliopsida; Solanales; Solanaceae. The record is from RefSeq and is a predicted model, not a curated record. The transcript has 4 exons.